RNAcentral lists this ribosomal RNA (430 nucleotides) under uncultured bacterium. Its description in RNAcentral is "partial 16S ribosomal RNA". It matches the Rfam family "Bacterial small subunit ribosomal RNA", at positions 355 to 774 of the family's 1533-position model. The record is from RNAcentral.
UGGGGAAUUUUGGACAAUGGGCGAAAGCCUGAUCCAGCAAUGCCGCGUGUGUGAAGAAGGCCUUCGGGUUGUAAAGCACUUUUGUCCGGAAAGAAAAUCCUUGGCUCUAAUACAGUCGGGGGAUGACGGUACCGGAAGAAUAAGCACCGGCUAACUACGUGCCAGCAGCCGCGGUAAUACGUAGGGUGCAAGCGUUAAUCGGAAUUACUGGGCGUAAAGCGUGCGCAGGCGGUUUGCUAAGACCGAUGUGAAAUCCCCGGGCUCAACCUGGGAACUGCAUUGGUGACUGGCAGGCUAGAGUAUGGCAGAGGGGGGUAGAAUUCCACGUGUAGCAGUGAAAUGCGUAGAGAUGUGGAGGAAUACCGAUGGCGAAGGCAGCCCCCUGGGCCAAUACUGACGCUCAUGCACGAAAAGCGUGGGGGAGCAAAAC